CAGCAGCCGCGGGAAAACGUAGGUGGCAAGCGUUGUCCGGAAUUAUUGGGCGUAAAGGGCUCGCAGGCGGUUUCUUAAGUCUGAUGUGAAAGCCCCCGGCUCAACCGGGGAGGGUCAUUGGAAACUGGGAAACUUGAGUGCAGAAGAGGAGAGUGGAAUUCCACGUGUAGCGGUGAAAUGCGUAGAGAUGUGGAGGAACACCAGUGGCGAAGGCGACUCUCUGGUCUGUAACUGACGCUGAGGAGCGAAAGCGUGGGGAGCGGACAGGAUUAGAUACCCCUGUAGUCCCUGUCUCUUAUAC
This 301-nucleotide ribosomal RNA is filed under the name uncultured bacterium. RNAcentral describes it as "partial 16S ribosomal RNA". It matches the Rfam family "Bacterial small subunit ribosomal RNA", at positions 509 to 807 of the family's 1533-position model. The record is from RNAcentral.